RNAcentral lists this ribosomal RNA (428 nucleotides) under uncultured Dyella sp. Its description in RNAcentral is "bacterial SSU rRNA". It matches the Rfam family "Bacterial small subunit ribosomal RNA", at positions 355 to 774 of the family's 1533-position model. Lineage: Bacteria; Pseudomonadati; Pseudomonadota; Gammaproteobacteria; Lysobacterales; Rhodanobacteraceae. The record is from RNAcentral.
UGGGGAAUAUUGGACAAUGGGCGCAAGCCUGAUCCAGCAAUGCCGCGUGUGUGAAGAAGGCCUUCGGGUUGUAAAGCACUUUUAUCAGGAGCGAAACUACUGCCGGCUAAUACCCGGCGGAACUGACGGUACCUGAGGAAUAAGCACCGGCUAACUUCGUGCCAGCAGCCGCGGUAAUACGAAGGGUGCAAGCGUUAAUCGGAAUUACUGGGCGUAAAGCGUGCGUAGGCGGUUUGUUAAGUCUGUUGUGAAAUCCCCGGGCUCAACCUGGGAAUGGCAAUGGAUACUGGCAAGCUAGAGUGUGAUAGAGGAUGGUGGAAUUCCCGGUGUAGCGGUGAAAUGCGUAGAGAUCGGGAGGAACAUCAGUGGCGAAGGCGGCCAUCUGGAUCAACACUGACGCUGAGGCACGAAAGCGUGGGGAGCAAACA